AAAGGAAUAGACGGGGGCCCGCACAAGCAGCGGAGCAUGUGGUUUAAUUCGAAGCAACGCGAAGAACCUUACCUAGACUUGACAUCUCCUGCAUUACUCUUAAUCGAGGAAGUCCCUUCGGGGACAGGAUGACAGGUGGUGCAUGGUUGUCGUCAGCUCGUGUCGUGAGAUGUUGGGUUAAGUCCCGCAACGAGCGCAACCCUUAUUGUUAGUUGCCAUCAUUAAGUUGGGCACUCUAGCGAGACUGCCCGGGUUAACCGGGAGGAAGGUGGGGAUGACGUCAAAUCAUCAUGCCCCUUAUGUCUAGGGCUACACACGUGCUACAAUGGUCGGUACAAUAAGACGCAAGCCCGCGAGGGGGAGCAAAACUGGAAAACCGAUCUCAGUUCGGAUUGUAGGCUGAAACUCGCCUACAUGAAGCUGGAGUUGCUAGUAAUCGCGAAUCAGCAUGUCGCGGUGAAUACGUUCCCGGGCCUUGUACACACCGCCCGU
This 492-nucleotide ribosomal RNA is filed under the name uncultured bacterium. RNAcentral describes it as "bacterial SSU rRNA". It matches the Rfam family "Bacterial small subunit ribosomal RNA", at positions 903 to 1397 of the family's 1533-position model. The record is from RNAcentral.